CCCCGCAAAACUUAAAAACGUUGGCGCCUUGGCUCCCAAGUCACUGUUGACAGUCAUAACUUCGAGGUCGUCAAAAAUUUCGUCUCUAGGGUCUUGUGUUAACACCAAUAAUAAUGUCAGCUUUGAAAUCCAACCUAGAAUAACUCUUCCCAACAUGUGCUACUUUUGAUUAAAUAUUUAAUUGAAAAGUCCUCUCUCGGCGAACGAAAACCAAACUCUCCAAGUUGCUCAUCAUACCCGUCCUACUAAAUGUGUGUCUGAUGUCUACACCUGAUAAGUCGGCAUAAGAAGUCUUUUGCGAACGAUUUAUGGUCUUUUGCGCAUUGACAACGAAUACUUGAAACGAUGGAACGAUGAGCUGUACGAGCUAUAUGAUGAUAUUGACAUAGUUCAGCGAAUAAAGAAACAGCGGCUACGCCGGCUAGGUCAUCUCCUCCAAAUGGUUGAAAGCACUCCAGCUUCGAAAGUAUACGAUGCAGCACCCGCUGGUGGAAGCACUCCGUUGCAACGAUCAGGUGGAGAGUGACCUGGCCUCACUUGGUAUUUCCGACUGGCGACAAACAGAGCAAGAAAAGGGAUGAAUGGUGCGCUAUAAUUAAUUUGGCUAUAAUCGCAUAAGCGGUGCCAACGACAAUAAUGAAGAAGAAGAAUAAGCAAUAUAUUAUUUUUUAAACGGCGGUGCCAAAGGUUUUUGAAUUACGAUCAAUACAAACCAUUGUAGUAUAUGCGAGCAUUCAAGCAAUGGAUGCAUAUUACCGAUAUCAUAGCAUGGCCAUUUGAUUCAACCACCUACACGCGCGCACGGCGUAUCUUAUAGCUGCAUCUCCCUGUUACAUUAUAAACCUAACUUUAUCGUGAAAAUAAUAAUUAAAUAAAAAAUUAAUUACUUAAAGUGUUUGUGCACCCAAGUGAAGAUAAACAUAUUUUUUUUUUAUUUAUCUCGGCUAAUUGGCACCAGACUCAAGGCAAGUUAACUACCGAGGAAUUUUUGGUAAAUAAACAUAUUUAGUUAAAGUCAAAAAGAAAAGUUAACUGAGUGCGUACAUCGGAAAACGUCUACGAAAUAUAGACACAACAUUUGCAAGUUUCAGUUCGUCCUCUGAAGACACCGAAAAUAAAUAUCAUGAGAAGUGUUGCAACUGUGAGAAUACUCUCGACUGGUGUCACAAUUUAAAGAGUAUGGAAAUUUAACCCAAAAAUGGAGAAAAUUCAACGAAAUAUGUUCUUCAACGCAAAUGGUAGUGGAAAAUGCAUUUGGACUGUUGAAAGAACGUUUCCGAAGACUGCUUAGUUUAACAAAAACAAACACAUUUGAAGGUGACUACCAAAAGAAUGUGUGUUGUAAAUAACAUUUGCAUUACUUUUGACGAUUUUCGCGAUGUCAAUGAAGCAAACGAUAAGGACAAACGAACUUUCUUUGUUCUAAAAGAGCAAAUGGAGGAGUCAAGCUUGCCGUGCGAGCGAAGUUUUCAAAUAAUAAAAAAGCCGUUGACAAAUAAGUCUGAUUAGAAAUCGUGGUUGUUUCCGAAGUAGCAGCUAUAACUUCGUCCAAAACUGUUAUUGUAAUGGUCAGACAUUUCCAUAAAACUUGAAAUCAAAAACCUUUUUAAUUAUUAAAAAAAAAAAAUUAUAUUAAAAAUACAGUAUUUUUAUAUGAUGAUAUGAGGAGCAGCUAUCCUUUGAAUAUAUUUGGUUUCAAAGCGCUAAAUAAAUCUCUAAACUAAAUAACUAAGAUCGGUUGUUGCGUUGUUUUUCUCGACUGUUGUUUUAAAAAGCAAUACGGCAGUUUUAAGCAAAGAAACUACAGCAUUGCGAAUGCUGUUGCUGCAAAGUCAAUUAAAAAGAUUAUUCAAAUCUUCAUACGUGCAAUAUUACAUGUAUUGUACAUUUGCAUUAUGUAGCUACUUAGGUAUGUAACAAUAUACACAUUAAUUGUAUGUAACAGUUUAGUUUAAUAGUCAUACAAAACUCGUGCGAUAUAUCAAAUGUUUAAUAGCUAGUCGUGACGGUACUAACAUAUUACCGUUUUUUAGUUUUUAUCAGCCGAAAGCAAGAGCGAUAGCAAAACGAUCCUGCUCUACUGCUUAAUUUGGUCUCACUGCUCUAGGGUUCACAGCAAAGCGACAGUCGCAGUCAUUGUUUUUACAUGAAAAGCGUACCAAAAUGUUGAAGUCUGCCAAAUAUUGUUUUAUGGCAGAUUUUAAGAAUGCAGGGUUGCAUUGUAAUAAUGCGGUUGCGUUUUGGAACUCAGUUUACUUUAGUGCCGCUAUGCACAUUUUGACAAUCAAAGAAGAAACAAAACUAAAUACUUGCAAGUGUUAAUUAUGGAAGCAAAUGAAUAGCAGAAAAUUGCUGUUGCUGUUCAAAUGUUGGAUUUGGUGGUUAAGGUAAAAAUCGUAUUCGAGCUAAAAAGCAAGUGUAACUAAAAUCCGUAUACAUCUUCUUCGUAAAGUAUUAGUAAAGUAACAGUUUUUUAUAUAAUUUUACACGAAAUGAAUGGGGAUAACGUUGAUGAAACACGUGACUCGUCACUUCUCCAUUUUAAAUACCAGCACACAAAUCAGCAAAUAUGAGGUAUUCGAGGUAUAAAUAGUGAAGAAGAAAAUUUUCAUCAUGCGGUUUCUCUCAUCGUCCGGAGUCGAAGUGCAAGAUAUAACUCUGCUUCCCCCGACAUCUACGGCUUAUUCGACGCUGACACAUAAUCUCAUCGAGGGUUAACAAAAUCGAAAGAUGCCAAGUUGCCUGAGUUGCUGGACGGUGAGCAAAUUGGGGAUCACACCUAAUCGCAAUUCCUUCGUCAUCUAUGCAACUUAUGCCCUGACGUGCCACAUAACAUGCUAAAAACAAGGUGGUAGUCUCACCUACGUGCACAAACACGUGCCAGUCUCGCUGUGCAGCUAAACGCAUCUUUGGAAGACCUUGGCCGCCUUAUCGACAAAAUAUGUAAGUGAGAUGAUGCCAGGUGGAACACACUCCAUUGCCGCUAUCUCUCAGGCUCAUUUGGGUUAAUAGUGGCGUUGAAUGGCUGUCAUACAAAAUCGCGCCACAUAUUCUUUAUAGAUCGUACUUCUGUAAUACAAUUUCUUGUGGACACAGAUGCUGAUAUUUCGGUACUUCCAUGCUCUCAAAUUAAGUCAAUUUUAACUUCGGUUGGCAGCUGUAUUCAGCGUCAGCGUAAAUCAUUGAAACAUAGGGUUAUUCCGUGCUCACGAUCAACUUCGGUUUGCGCCGCGAUUUUACUUGGCGAUUUAUUAUCGUCGAUGUCUCUAAGCUCAUUAUCGGGGCGGACUUUAUUAGCCACUUUGGUUUAGUAAUGGAUUUAAAAUACAGUAGAAUCAGUGACGAAAGUAGGUACUACUUGCACCGUCCAAAUGGAGCAAACUCCUCCAACUGUUUCAAUAAACGGUACUUGUGGCGAAUCACCUUAUAUGUAAUUAGUGAAACAAUUUUCUUCCACCACUAAGCCUGUUGCAGCAUUCCAAUUAAUGAAGAAUGCCACCGUGUAUCACAUCAAAACUAAUAACGGCCCGUUGAUUUCAAGUAAAGCGCGACAACUUGUGCCUCAUAAACUUAAAAUAGAUAAAGAGGAAUUCGCGGAAAUGGUAAAAGCGGGCAUCGCUCGUACAUCACAUAGUGGUAUAGUCUUCACCACAACAUUUAGCACUAAAAGGUCUGGAGAAUAACGACCGUGCGAUGACUAUCAUCGUCUCAACGAUAGAAAUUUCCUUAUCGAUAUAUAGAUCUAGUAGGAGCGUUCAACCAAAUCCCGGUUACGAGCGAAGAGAUUUAAAAACCGCUAUAAUCACGCCAUCCGAGUUAUUCGAGUUUCCAUUCAGGUCCUUGGGCUAGAGAAACGAAGGCCAAAUAUUUCAACGUUUUAUUGACAAAGUUACUCGCGACCUGCCUUUUGUUUUUCCGUACAUCGAAGACCUUCUUAUUGCUACACAUAUCGAUCGCUAGUAUCUUGAGCAUCUUUAAACGCUUUUUCAAUGACCUCAGGAUUUUGGCUUGGUAAUCAAUACGGCUAAAUCAUGUUUUGGCCACCCAAUAACGUGUAAUGGAAUCAAGCCACUAUCUAAAAAGGUCAGAGCCAUAAGAGAGUUGUCACUACCAACAAUAGUAAAAAACUUCGUGGAUUUCUCGGAAUUAUAUCGAAAAUUCACAAGGAACGGCGGGGUAUUACUAGCUCCAUUCAACGAAGUCAUUUCUGGUACCAAGAUCAAGAGUACACAACAAAUACGCUAGACAAAUGAACUUCGAAACGCUUUCGAUCAGUUAAAAGAAGCUUUAUCGAAUUGCGAAGAAUUACGAAUAGCUCACACAGACGUUGGCGCAGAAUUAGCCAUAUUUACAAACGCAUCCAAUUUUGCAAUCGGUGCUGUACUGCUAAGUAGGUUUUGGCAACCUCUUGCGUUAUCAGUCGAAGGCUUUCAGUAUCCAUCAGUAAACUCUUCACGUAUGAUCGCGAGCUCCAUGCGAUAUACGAGGCUGUUAAAUACUUCCGAUAUAUGUUUAAGCGUCGGCAUAUAACUAUUUAAAAUGACCACAAGGCGUUGCAGCAAGUUUGUGAGCAGCGAGAAGAGCGUGCUUCUCCUAGGCAGUGGAUAAGCCAGUUCACAAUAGACAUUAAACACGUACGUGGGGAAACUAACAUCGUAGCAGACACGUUCUCACGCGUCGAUACCAUUUCCAUUCCUUACCGUCGCGCCGAGAAGAGCAAUAUUUGGUUCACUGCACUCUCUAUAUCAUUCGGAAAUACGAUGCUUACAAAAAUUGGUGACGAACAGAUAUAUAUGGCCCCAGAUCCAUAAAGAUUUUCGUAUUUGGGCGCGAGUUUGCAUCGAGUGUCAAAGAAAUAAAGUACAGCGUCAUGUCGUUAUUCCUAUUGCCAAUGCAGCGUUUCGAGCACAUUCAUUUGGACCUAAUAUCAUUACCUUCAGUGAGAGUAUACCGUCAAUGUCUUACCAUAAGAGAUCGUUGCACGCGUUUUCCUGAAGAAAUACCACUAGGAAAUGGCAAUAUGGAAAUAAUCAAGCGUGCCACUCCAAAUAACUUUCGAUCGUCGUGGACAACUUAAAUCAGCUCUGCUUCGCAAACUUGCUGAUUUAUUUGGAAUUCCUCGUGUAAAGACUAAACCCUGUCAUCCCCAAGCCAACGGACUUGUAGAAAGAUUGCAUCGACAAUUAAAAUCAGCCUAUGUCACAAAGAAGCUUGGUAUGACGCGCUUCCAAUAGUUCUCAUGAGUUUACGAGCAUCGUAAAAAAAUGACAUUUCAACGACACCGGCUGGUGUCUCAAGUGCGUCAAGGACAAACAGAGCCAUCUUUUAGUGCCUCACACCAAGGACCAUAUCGCGUCUUAUCGUGACACGUUACACCUUUCUAUAUCGAAAUACAAGGACAACGUACUCCCGUCUCAGUAGACCGUCUCAAACCUGUCUUCGAAGCAUCGACCGAAAAACAAAUCACCACAACAACUAAUAAUAGGAAAACAACAAGGCGUGUUCUUUUGGCAGACGAUUCGUAACCUAUUUAGACGAUGAAAAUUUAUGAUUAUAUAAACUAAGUUAAGCCUAUCAUUGUUACAUUUUUUUUAUUUGAUUUUAAAACUAAAGAAAACACAACAAGGGGAGCUGAGUGGCAUACUUGCUACUCUACUGAACCAAUGGCAGCUCUUUCUCGGACUGGAAAUUAACUUUAAGCCUCUCAGUGGAAAAAGAGUAGUAUUGUUGUAAUGCCUUUAGUAGUUUGAUAUUUCCUUCACAAAACGGAACCUUGAUAAUUCUGUUUUCGCUACAUAUAUAUAUAUAUUCAUUUUCAAGUGAUAAUAUUCUUAUUAUCGGGGUGUGAUGGUGUAUAGGGUGUAUAGGGUGUAGUAAAGCUUCUGGUUAUGCUGUUACAUUUGCGAAGCUGUACUCUUGCGUCAACAUUGCGCUCCCUGGAAGAGGAGCAAUCCUUGUGUAACCAACCCGUGUAGAGGCUUGGGUCACGGCUAACGAGAGAGGAAGUUUCAGUGAAGCCACUCCAACUUAUUCGGUUUAAGCGCACGCUGAAAUCUAAUUGCAGCGUCUGUUCAUUAGAGGUGCGGCUGCGAGCGGGCAUCGGUUUUGAAGCAAGCGGAUCGCUAUAUAAAUAUGUACAAAGUUUAAACCUACUCGCUUAGCGAGGCUAUGCGCUAAGAUAAUAACGCCUCGGAUGAGGCCCCUUUCUGUUGACGAUCACCGCAAAAGAACAAAGGGACACGAUUUGAGGGCAUUCACCUGCAAUGUCCAGACGUGCUUGGCUAAUUUAAUGCCACAAAGACACCUUAUUUGGUACGACUGUUGGAAAAGUCAGUCAAGGUCUUCCCAUUUGAGGUGCGUACGGUCUUAUAAAUUGCCAUGAGAAGCCGUUGAUUGCGUAUUUACUGAUGACAUCCAUUGAGACUUCGCUACAAACGCUUUAAUUGAUUUGCAACGAGCAAAUGCUGCUUUAAAAGCUACUGCGCCUGGGUCAGAGGAAAGUUUGAGAUGUAACAACUUUGUGACGAAGCACACAAAGUCGCAGACGUAUGGCUUGAAACAGGAUGUUCGUUGAAGCGUUGAUGUUUUGACGAGAGCAUGAAAAUAUACAAGAAGCUUCUUGGCUGUCCCCCGAUCGAAAAACAAAAAACCAGGACCCAACAUCGCUUUGGACCACUAUCUUGUUGCAGCGAUUAAGCACAUGCCCAUCUGUAUAUGAAGAACACAAGGAAAGUUCCACGUCGAAAAGCUGCAAUCACAACAGGCUGUCGAACGACUUUCUACUCGACUUGCACUCUUGUUAUUCGAGAGCACUCAUCAGCAAACGUACAGGUGCAGACGAGACUAAUGAAUUUUGCAAAGUUCGCAAAAACAGCUGGUACGAUAAGGACUGCCGUGUCGCAGUGGAGCGAAAACAGACUGCUUACCGCGCAAACUUGCCAUCGACUACAAAAACUCAAUCAUGUCAUCUAGCCACCGAUGCCCAGAGCACUUUGAACUUAUGGAGGGAACUUUUCUCCAGUCUUCUAAAUAGCAGUUCGGGUUCACCUUAACACCAAUCGAUGACGGUGGAAAAGACCGGCGAAAAGAGGAUCGACACACUCCACCUCUUCGUCGGUUUUAAAGUCGCCUUGGAUAGCAUGAACAGCAGCUGCCUUUACUCUGCUAAGUCUGAUUUCGGUAUCCCCGCAAAACUUAUCGGGCUAUGUAAACUGACCGCAAGCGACUCUAAAGGCCCAGUCAGGAUCGGGCGGACCUCUCCGAGUCAUUCUUUACCAAACGAGAUUUCAGACA
This 7293-nucleotide long non-coding RNA is filed under the name Ceratitis capitata (Mediterranean fruit fly). Its description in RNAcentral is "uncharacterized LOC110118228, transcript variant X2". The record is from RNAcentral. Lineage: Eukaryota; Metazoa; Arthropoda; Insecta; Diptera; Tephritidae.